Molecule: Y RNA, 107 nt
Filed under: Mandrillus leucophaeus (drill)
Lineage: Eukaryota; Metazoa; Chordata; Mammalia; Primates; Cercopithecidae
Description: Y RNA (ENSMLEG00000018461.1)
Rfam family: Y RNA
About the family: Y RNAs are components of the Ro ribonucleoprotein particle (Ro RNP), in association with Ro60 and La proteins.
Source: Rfam by way of RNAcentral
GCCUUGUCUGAAGGUAGUUAUCUCAAUUGAUUGUUCAGUCAGUUACAGAUGGAACUCCUUGUUCUACUCUUUCCCCCUUUCUCACUACUGCACUUGACUAGUCUAAA